AUGCUGACCGCACAUGGUAUGGCUGUGAAGAACAGAGCAGUAUAUUCAAUGCCGGUAGUUAUCUUGGAGAUGAUGCUUCCUUUCAGAAUAAGAAGGCAAAAUUGCUCCAAGAAGUUGACUCGCCAAGAUGGAAGCCUGAUGACUCUUGCUCAGAGCAAAAGGUUAUCUCAGGUAACCGCUGAGAAUGCUCGGUGGGAGGACAGGCAGUUGUUCAGAUCAGGAGCUGUUAGGAGAACAGAGGUGCAGACGGAGUUCGACGAUGAGGACGAGCGUAAGGUGAUACUACUUGUUCAUGACACAAAACCCCCAUUCCUUGAUGGACGAGUUGUGUUCACAACGCAAGCAGAGCCUGUGAUGCCACUCAAGGACCCGACAUCUGACAUGGUUAUCAUUGCGCGCAAAGGUUCUCUUUUGGUUAGGGAAAUUCGUGAAAAGCAGAGUAUGAACAAGUCAAGGCAACGCUUCUGGGAGCUUGCUGGAUCUAUGCUAGGACAUAUUUUGGGUGUUGGGAAAACAACCCAACAGGCUGAUGCUGAUACUGUGCUUGUUGGUGACCAAGGUGAUGUUGACUUCAAAGAGAAGCUGAAAUUUUCACAACACUUGAAGGAAAAGGCAGAAGCAGUCAGCGAUUUUGCAAAAUCAAAAUCUCUUUCUGAACAGAGGCAAUACCUUCCCAUAUACACUGUCAGGGAUGACCUGCUCGGAGUUGUGCGGGAAAAUCAAGUGGUUGUGGUUGUUGGUGAAACUGGUUCUGGGAAGACUACCCAGCUGACUCAAUAUCUGCAUGAGGAUGGAUAUACCAGAACUGGCCUUGUUGGCUGCACUCAACCAAGACGUGUAGCUGCCAUGAGUGUUGCUCGGCGUGUCAGUGACGAAAUGGAAACCGUGCUUGGAGAAGAAGUUGGAUAUGCUAUUCGGUUCGAGGAUGUCACGUGCCAUAAGACAAAAAUAAAGUACAUGACAGAUGGAGUGCUUCUCCGUGAAACCUUGAAGGAUGCUGACCUGGACAAAUAUCGGGUUAUCAUCAUGGAUGAAGCACACGAGAGAUCAGUGGACACUGAUGUAUUAUUUGGUAUAUUGAAGAAGGUUGCUGCACGGCGACGGGAUUUUAAGCUAAUUGUCACAUCUGCAACACUAAAUGCAGACAAAUUCUCAAAAUUCUUUGGUGGUGCGCCUGUAUUUCACAUACCUGGAAGGACAUUUCCAGUUAAUAUCUUGUACAGCAAAACACCAUGUGAAGAUUAUGUGGAAGCGGCAGUGAAGCAGGCCAUCACAAUCCACAUAACGAGUGGCCCUGGCGACAUUCUCAUAUUCAUGACUGGGCAGGAAGAAAUCGAGACUGCUUGCUAUGCGCUUGCUGAGCGCAUGGAGCAGCUAAUAUCAUCAUCCACCAAGGCUGCAGGGAAGCUCUCAAUCUUGCCCGUCUAUUCGCAGUUGCCUGCUGACUUGCAGGCCAAGAUCUUUCAGAAGGCAGGGGAGGGCACUCGCAAAUGCAUUGUUGCUACCAACAUCGCUGAGACAUCCCUGACAGUAGAUGGUAUCUUGUAUGUCAUCGAUACUGGGUAUGGAAAGAUGAAGGUAUACAAUCCACGGAUGGGCAUGGACGCUCUUCAGGUUUUUCCAUGUAGUCGAGCAGCCGCAGACCAGCGCGCAGGGCGUGCAGGAAGAACUGGCCCCGGCACAUGCUACAGGCUGUUCACGGAAUCCGCUUACCAGGAUGAAAUGCUCCCUAACCCCGUGCCAGAGAUCCAAAGGACCAACCUUGCGAACGUGGUUCUCUUACUGAAAUCCCUCGAAGUCGAAAAUUUGCUUCAUUUUGACUUCAUGGACCCACCUCCCCAGGAGAAUAUCCUCAACUCCAUGUACCAGCUCUGGCUGUUGGGUGCCUUGAACAAUGCUGGCGGCCUUGCAAAUCUAGGCUGGAAGAUGGUGGAGUUCCCACUGGACCCAACCCUGGCAAAGAUGCUUCUCAUGGGUAAGGAGUUGGGGUGCGUUGAUGAAGUACUAACAAUUGUAUCGAUGCUCUCAGUGCCAUCAGUAUUCUUCCGGCCAAAAGAUCGAGAAGAGGAGAGUGACACUGCAAGGGAGAAGUUUUUUGUACCGGAGUCUGACCAUCUAACACUCCUCAAUGUAUACCUGCUCUGGGAGUCGAACGAAUAUAGUGUAGACUGGUGCAAUGCUCACUUCCUCCAUGUCAAGGGUCUACAAAAGGCUCGGGAAGUGAGAUCUCAAUUGGUGGACAUACUGAACACCCUGAAGAUCCCGCAGAUAUCGCGCCAUAGGGAAUGGGACUUGGUGAGGAAGGCCAUCUGCUCAGCGUACUUCCAGAACUCUGCAAGGUUGAAGGGUGUUGGAGAGUACGUCAACUGCCGUAAUGGGGUGCCUUGCCACCUGCAUCCCAGCAGCGCCCUCUACGGUCUCGGCUACACCCCUGACUACAUCGUCUACCACGAGCUUGUCCUGACAACCAAGGACUAUAUGCAGUGUGUCAGUGCAGUUGACCCGCAGUGGCUGGUAGAGCUGGGGCCCAUGUUCUUCUCUGUGAAGGAGGGUGACACCUCCUUCCUUGACCGCAGGAGGUGGCAUAAUGAGGAGAAGACGGCCAUGGAAGAGGAGAUGGAGAAGCUGAGGCAGGAGCAAGAUGAGGCGGCAUGCAGAGUGAAGGGGAGGGAGGAGAAGAGGGGCAAGCCGCAGCAGCAGGUUGCUAUGCCAGGCCUGAAGAAAGGUUUGGCGUAUCUUAGGCCCAGAAGGAGAAUGGGUUUGUAG
RNAcentral lists this ribosomal RNA (2766 nucleotides) under Triticum aestivum (bread wheat). RNAcentral describes it as "partial small subunit ribosomal RNA". The record is from RNAcentral. Lineage: Eukaryota; Viridiplantae; Streptophyta; Magnoliopsida; Poales; Poaceae.